Molecule: ribosomal RNA, 467 nt
Filed under: Salamandrella keyserlingii (Siberian salamander)
Lineage: Eukaryota; Metazoa; Chordata; Amphibia; Caudata; Hynobiidae
Description: partial 16S ribosomal RNA
Rfam family: Bacterial large subunit ribosomal RNA
Source: RNAcentral
UUGUCUUUUAAAUAAAGACCGGUAUGAAUGGCAAGACGAAAGUUUAACUGUCUCCCUAAAUUAAUCAAUGAAAUUGAUCUUCCCGUGCAGAAGCGGGAAUAAAAUUAUAAGACGAGAAGACCCUAUGGAGCUUUAAAUACAUGAUCAAUUGCAUAAUAUUGACCCCGAAAGAUAUAAAAUAAAAUAAAGCAUAAUGAUCAAAAUUUUAGGUUGGGGCGACCACGGAGAAAAAUAAAACCUCCGAGAUGAAGAGAAUAUCUUAAUUUAUGAGUUACAACUCUAAAAAAUAAAAUAUUUAACAUAAUUGAUCCAAUAUUUUUGAUCAACGAACUAAGUUACCCUAGGGAUAACAGCGCAAUCCUUUCCAAGAGUUCCUAUCGACGAAUGGGUUUACGACCUCGAUGUUGGAUCAGGACACCCCAAUGGUGCAGCCGCUAUUAAAGGUUCGUUUGUUCAACGAUUAAAGU